Molecule: ribosomal RNA, 412 nt
Filed under: bacterium
Lineage: Bacteria
Also listed under: 3 other names
Description: partial 16S ribosomal RNA
Rfam family: Bacterial small subunit ribosomal RNA
Source: RNAcentral
UGGGGAAUCUUGCACAAUGGGCGGAAGCCUGAUGCAGCGACGCCGCGUGGGGGAUGACGGCCUUCGGGUUGUAAACUCCUUUCGCCAGGGACGAAGCCGUGAGGUGACGGUACCUGGAUAAGAAGCACCGGCUAACUACGUGCCAGCAGCCGCGGUAAUACGUAGGGUGCGAGCGUUGUCCGGAAUUACUGGGCGUAAAGAGCUCGUAGGUGGUUUGUCGCGUCGUCUGUGAAAUUCCGGGGCUUAACUCCGGGCGUGCAGGCGAUACGGGCAUAACUUGAGUGCUGUAGGGGAGACUGGAAUUCCUGGUGUAGCGGUGAAAUGCGCAGAUAUCAGGAGGAACACCGAUGGCGAAGGCAGGUCUCUGGGCAGUAACUGACGCUGAGGAGCGAAAGCAUGGGUAGCGAACAGG